This 460-nucleotide ribosomal RNA is filed under the name uncultured bacterium. Its description in RNAcentral is "partial 16S ribosomal RNA". It matches the Rfam family "Bacterial small subunit ribosomal RNA", at positions 338 to 795 of the family's 1533-position model. The record is from RNAcentral.
CCUACGGGUGGCAGCAGUGAGGAAUAUUGGUCAAUGGACGCAAGUCUGAACCAGCCAUGCCGCGUGCAGGAAGACGGCUCUAUGAGUUGUAAACUGCUUUUGUACGAGGGUAAACGCAGAUACGCGUAUCUGUCUGAAAGUAUCCUACGAAUAAGGAUCGGCUAACUCCGUGCCAGCAGCCGCGGUAAUACGGAGGAUUCAAGCGUUAUCCGGAUUUAUUGGGUUUAAAGGGUGCGUAGGCGGUCGGAUAAGUUAGAGGUGAAAUCCCGAGGCUCAACUUCGGAAUUGCCUCUGAUACUGUUCGGCUAGAGAGUAGUUGAGGUAGGCGGAAUGUAUGGUGUAGCGGUGAAAUGCUUAGAGAUCAUACAGAACACCGAUUGCGAAGGCAGCUUACCAGGCUACUUCUGACGUUGAGGCACGAAAGCGUGGGGAGCGAACAGGAUUAGAUACCCCUGUAGUC